RNAcentral lists this ribosomal RNA (500 nucleotides) under Acinetobacter baumannii OIFC137. RNAcentral's name for it is "bacterial SSU rRNA". It matches the Rfam family "Bacterial small subunit ribosomal RNA", at positions 30 to 523 of the family's 1533-position model. Lineage: Bacteria; Pseudomonadati; Pseudomonadota; Gammaproteobacteria; Moraxellales; Moraxellaceae. The record is from RNAcentral.
UUGAACGCUGGCGGCAGGCUUAACACAUGCAAGUCGAGCGGGGGAAGGUAGCUUGCUACCGGACCUAGCGGCGGACGGGUGAGUAAUGCUUAGGAAUCUGCCUAUUAGUGGGGGACAACAUCUCGAAAGGGAUGCUAAUACCGCAUACGUCCUACGGGAGAAAGCAGGGGAUCUUCGGACCUUGCGCUAAUAGAUGAGCCUAAGUCGGAUUAGCUAGUUGGUGGGGUAAAGGCCUACCAAGGCGACGAUCUGUAGCGGGUCUGAGAGGAUGAUCCGCCACACUGGGACUGAGACACGGCCCAGACUCCUACGGGAGGCAGCAGUGGGGAAUAUUGGACAAUGGGGGGAACCCUGAUCCAGCCAUGCCGCGUGUGUGAAGAAGGCCUUAUGGUUGUAAAGCACUUUAAGCGAGGAGGAGGCUACUUUAGUUAAUACCUAGAGAUAGUGGACGUUACUCGCAGAAUAAGCACCGGCUAACUCUGUGCCAGCAGCCGCGGUAA